GAUGAACGCUGGCGGCGUGCUUAACACAUGCAAGUCGAGCGAAGCACUCUGGAAGAUUCCUUCGGGAUGAUUCCUCUGUGACUUAGCGGCGGACGGGUGAGUAACGCGUGGGCAACCUGCCUUGUACAGGGGGAUAACAGUUAGAAAUGACUGCUAAUACCGCAUAAGCGCACAGCAUGGCAUCAUGCAGUGUGAAAAACUCCGGUGGUACAAGAUGGGCCCGCGUUGGAUUAGCUAGUUGGUGGGGUAACGGCCCACCAAGGCGACGAUCCAUAGCCGGACUGAGAGGUCGAACGGCCACAUUGGGANUGAGACACGGCCCAGACUCCUACGGGAGGCAGCAGUGGGGAAUAUUGCACAAUGGAGGAAACUCUGAUGCAGCGACGCCGCGUGAGUGAUGAAGUAUU
Molecule: ribosomal RNA, 407 nt
Filed under: bacterium YSB2002
Lineage: Bacteria
Description: bacterial SSU rRNA
Rfam family: Bacterial small subunit ribosomal RNA
Source: RNAcentral